This 497-nucleotide ribosomal RNA is filed under the name uncultured bacterium. RNAcentral describes it as "partial 16S ribosomal RNA". It matches the Rfam family "Bacterial small subunit ribosomal RNA", at positions 28 to 507 of the family's 1533-position model. The record is from RNAcentral.
GAUGAACGCUGGCGGCGUGCCUAAUACAUGCAAGUCGAGCGAACGGACGAGAAGCUUGCUUCUCUGAUGUUAGCGGCGGACGGGUGAGUAACACGUGGAUAACCUACCUAUAAGACUGGGAUAACUUCGGGAAACCGUAGCUAAUACCGGAUAAUAUUUUGAACCGCAUGGUUCAAAAGUGAAAGACGGUCUUGCUGUCACUUAUAGAUGGAUCCGCGCUGCAUUAGCUAGUUGGUAAGGUAACGGCUUACCAAGGCAACGAUGCAUAGCCGACGUGAGAGGGGGAUCGGCCACACUGGAACGGAGACACGGUCCAGACUCCUACGGGAGGCAGCAGUAGGGAAUAUUCCGCAAUGGGCGAAAGCCUGACGGAGCAACGCCGCGUGAGUGAUGAAGGUCUUCGGAUCGUAAAACUCUGUUAUUAGGGAAGAACAUAUGUGUAAGUAACUGUGCACAUCUUGACGGUACCUAAUCAGAAAGCCACGGCUAACUACGUG